Molecule: ribosomal RNA, 468 nt
Filed under: uncultured bacterium
Lineage: Bacteria
Description: partial 16S ribosomal RNA
Rfam family: Bacterial small subunit ribosomal RNA
Source: RNAcentral
GACGAACGCUGGCGGCGUGCUUAACACAUGCAAGUCGAACGGAAAGGCCCUGCUUUUGUGGGGUGCUCGAGUGGCGAACGGGUGAGUAACACGUGAGUAACCUGCCCUUGACUUUGGGAUAACUUCAGGAAACUGGGGCUAAUACCGGAUAGGAGCUCCUGCUGCAUGGUGGGGGUUGGAAAGUUUCGGCGGUUGGGGAUGGACUCGCGGCUUAUCAGCUUGUUGGUGGGGUAGUGGCUUACCAAGGCUUUGACGGGUAGCCGGCCUGAGAGGGUGACCGGCCACAUUGGGACUGAGAUACGGCCCAGACUCCUACGGGAGGCAGCAGUGGGGAAUAUUGCACAAUGGGCGGAAGCCGGAUGCAGCAACGACGCUUGCGGGAUGACGGCCUUCGGGUUGUAAACCGCUUUCGCCUGUGACGAAGCGUGAGUGACGGUAAUGGGUAAAGAAGCACCGGCUAACUACGUG